UGAGUACGAUGCUCUACGGAGCAGAAGUGUGUGACGUCAGGCUUCCUAGAAAAUCCCGGACCACGUUAAUCCACAUCACCCGUACCCGAAACCGACACAGGUGGGUAGGUAGAGUAUACUAAGGGGCGCGAGAUAACUCUCUCUAAGGAACUCGGCAAAAUGACUCCGUAACUUCGGGAGAAGGAGUGCCUUAUUUAUAAGGUUGCAAUAACAAGAUCCAAGCAACUGUUUAUCAAAAACACAGGUCUCCGCUAAGUCGUAAGACGAUGUAUGGGGGCUGACGCCUGCCCAGUGCCAGAAGGUUAAAGAAGUUGGUUAGUGUAUGCGAAGCUGAUGACUGAAGCCCUGGUGAACGGCGGCCGUAACAAUAACGGUCCUAAGGUAGCGAAAUUCCUUGUCGGGUAAGUUCCGACCCGCACGAAAGGCGUAAUGAUUUGGAUACUGUCUCGGAGAGAGGCUCGGUGAAAUAGACUUGUCUGUGAAGAUGCGGACUACCUGCACCAGGACAGAAAGACCCUAUGAAGCUUUACUGUAACUUGAAAUUGGAAUUGGACUUUGCUUGCGCAGUAUAGGUGGGAAGCGUUGAAAAUAUUCUUGCGGGAGUAUUGGAGCUAUCAGUGAGAUACCACUCUUGUAAUGUUAGAUUUCUAACUUUGAACCAUAAUCUGGUCAAAGAACAGUUUCAGGUGGGCAGUUUGACUGGGCGGUCGCCUCCCAAAUGGUAACGGAGGCGUACAAAGGUUUCCUCUGAACGGAUAGAAAUCGUAUCUAGAGUGUAAAGGCAUAAGGAAGCUUGACUGUGAGACCUACAAGUCGAGCAGGGACGAAAGUCGGUCUUAGUGAUCUGACGGUACUGAGUGGAAAGGCCGUCACUCAACGGAUAAAAGUUACUCUAGGGAUAACAGGCUGAUCUCCCCCAAGAGUUCACAUCGACGGGGAGGUUUGGCACCUCGAUGUCGGCUCAUCGCAUCCUGGGGCGGUAGUACGUCCCAAGGGUUGGGCUGUUCGCCCAUGAAAGCGGUACGCGAGCUGGGUUCAGAACGUCGUGAGACAGUUCGGUCCAUAUCCGGUGUAGGCGCUAGAAUAUUGAGAGGAGCCUUCUUUAGUACGAGAGGACCGAGAAGGACACACCGCUGGUGUACCAGUUAUCGUGCCAACGGUAAACGCUGGGUAGCUAUGUGUGGAGUGGAUAACCGCUGAAAGCAUCUAAGUGGGAAGCCCACCUCGAGAUGAGUAUUC
RNAcentral lists this ribosomal RNA (1239 nucleotides) under metagenome. RNAcentral describes it as "bacterial LSU rRNA". It matches the Rfam family "Bacterial large subunit ribosomal RNA", at positions 1564 to 2813 of the family's 2925-position model. The record is from RNAcentral.